Molecule: long non-coding RNA, 755 nt
Organism: Myotis lucifugus (little brown bat)
Lineage: Eukaryota; Metazoa; Chordata; Mammalia; Chiroptera; Vespertilionidae
Exons: 3
Source: RefSeq, a predicted model, not a curated record
CAAUCUGACUGAGUGCACACACGAGCUCAAGGCUCCCCACAAGCAGUAGGCCUACAAAUACUGAUAAAUGGAUAGUCUUGUGCCUCUUUUCUUGCAAGUUGUAUUUUUUCAAGUCACUGGCCAUGGUGUCAUUCGUGGUGGAAGAAUUUAAACUGUUAGGAGCUACGCAAGAUCCAUUGAAGUACCACUGUAGAUUGAAGGAUUGGGGAUAAAUCCUUCCAGAAAAAUAAAAGGUACUGUUGCCUGGAGAAUUACAGAUGAGAGGACCUUUGAAGAGAGCCUGCAAGGAUACCAGCACGCAGAACACAGCACCAAGUAUUGUGAUUAUAUUCAGAAAUGAUGAAAGAAACAUCUGAAAAAUAAGCUCAAUAUGUAGGUGAACCAGAGAGAUGAAAGUUCAGGAUGUCUAAAUAUCUAAGCACAGGAGUGAUCCCACCCCCUGCAGCACCUGCCAGGAGGCCGGGCCGCCUAGCAGCAGCAUUGCUUCUGACAACAGCACUUACACUGGCAGCACUUCUGCUGACAACAGCCCUUCCCACAGCCACAGCCACAGCCACAGGAGCCGCAGCCACAGGAGCCACAGCCACAGGAGCGGCGGCAGCAACAGACCACGGGGACACUGCAGCAGCCCCCACAGCAGCCACAGCAGCAGGGGCAGCAGCUGGAGCAGCAGCCGACCCGGUAGCAUCUGCAGGUGGUGCAGCCACCACAGCCGCCACCACAACCACCACAGCCACCACAGCCGCCACAGCCGC